Molecule: long non-coding RNA, 1756 nt
Organism: Corvus hawaiiensis (hawaiian crow)
Lineage: Eukaryota; Metazoa; Chordata; Aves; Passeriformes; Corvidae
Exons: 3
Source: RefSeq, a predicted model, not a curated record
GUGGCCUCUCAGCAAGCAACGAUAUAGAGUAAAGCAAACUGAAAACUGAGAUGAGCAACCCCUGGGUGAGCAAAGUGGUGAUGCUGAGCAGAGACCCACCUGACACACCCUAGGCAACAUGUGUCCUUGACUGCUUGAACAACAUUAGUACUCUGAGUGCUGGCCUAGAAAUGUCUCUCUGAAAUCAAGGACGAAAUCAAGACACAGUAAUAAAAACUGGCAAAACAGCCUGUGAUCAACUGCUAACUUUCAUAAAAGACUAACACAGCAACUGAACAGAAUACAAAGUAAGUGCCUGCCACCCUGGCUGAACUGGGAAACAAAUCACUGUUCAGCCAAGAGAUGCUACGGCUCUACUCUCAUUUUGCACAGCUCUGUGCUAGGAGAGCUCCAUAACUUUGUGAACAGAGUUCAUGUUUAUCUGGGAAGCUACUGCCGUGCUCUCAGGCCAGAACACUGCUUCUGCUCCUUUAUCCCAGGGACUUUUUUGUUUUAUUCGUCAUAGUAACCACAGGAAAUUACAAGUACCACCAAGACACACCGAUGAUAAAUAAAGAUUUGGAGCUGCCUUUCCUUUCCCUUUCCCGUUUAUGGGAGAGCUUUAUCUACUAUGACAGUAACCACCAGGAGAAUCAGCUUCAGUCCAGUCCUCCAGUCCUAUAUUGUAUGUUCAGCUUUCCUGAGAACAAAGAGGAGGUCCUGGUUCAUUAUUCAAAAAUGCUGUGACUAAAACUCAAAAUAGAAAAGAAAGCAUACCAGUAGGUGCUCAAUGAAGGAAACACCUGCUUUUCAUUUUCCUGCAGUGUUUAAAUGAAGCAAAUUAGAUAAUCCAAUUGAGGACAAAACUUUAAAUCCUGGUUAAAAAUCAGAGCCAUGUUAUGCUACCUCAGACUGACAAGCAGAGCAAAUGCAUGUUUGAGUCAAUUUAAUUUUUGGUGGUUCUUAAUUAAGUUUAAGAACUCGAACAGAAAGUAUGCUAUUACCUUCUACCUGAUAGAAUUUCUAGUGUCUUGCUGCAAGUGUGUCACACUAAAAUGUUUUUAUUACUUGCAUAACAGAACCACCCCUUACACUAGAGGGGGGACUUGCAGGAUAAGGCGUUCUCCUUGAAGGGGUGUGUGGUGUGGGGCAGACCUGCAAGAGACACCCAAGCAGACACCCUGGGAGAGGCACAUCCAUGGUUCUGGCACACAGUUUGGUCUAACCCGCAGUGAUGAGCAAUAGCCUGCACUGGCUCAAUCCACUGACACACACAAGCAGCUCCUGGCAGGCAAGCAGCUCCCCAGGAACAGGCUUAGUUAAUCUACACAGCUCUACACCGUGCCAUGGAGACAGCUUGCAGUAAGAUAUGAGCAAGAUCCUUGCCUCAGGGAAUUCCAGCAUCCUUAAACACUUACAAUUGUCUAACAAUGCCAAAAUACCUCUGAGGUCUCAACUUUUAAAACAUGAGCAAGUAAGACAGAUAAAGCCCCGGAUGAAAAUACAUUCAAGCACAUGCACAGGAGCCAAGAGACUGAAGAACAAAGGAGCCACAUUUCCAUGACUUCCAAGCCAGUGCACAGACUGCUGGGGCAAUCGAGCUCUGAUGGUAUUUCCUCUGAAUUCCAUUCAGCCCCUACCCCAAAAGCUGGUCACUAGGCUGGAAGCAGGGACAAGCCAUAUGCAGGAACUCCUCAGCCUGUGGAGCAACACUGGGGGUCCUGUGCAGCUGGUCCCAGCACUUCUGCAACCACAGAAGUACCAUCAUAGCCACCAG